Molecule: small nucleolar RNA, 140 nt
Organism: Jaculus jaculus (lesser Egyptian jerboa)
Lineage: Eukaryota; Metazoa; Chordata; Mammalia; Rodentia; Dipodidae
Source: Ensembl
UAGCACGUCAGACAGGUGCUCUGCUUCUCUUUAAAGAACAUGGAUUUAUCCACACCAUGUGACAUGAAUGAAAUGAGAAGUUUUCAGGGCUGACAACCUUUCAGUGAAAGGUUUUGCGGUAGUAUAUUUCUUCCACAAUA